UAUGCACUACAACCGCAUGCUUCCUGGGUUUUUAAAUUGGACAUAGAGUCCAUACCUUAGGCAGCGAGUCUGAGUGAAGGA
This is a non-coding RNA of Alicyclobacillus acidoterrestris ATCC 49025, 81 nucleotides long. The record is from Rfam. Lineage: Bacteria; Bacillati; Bacillota; Bacilli; Caryophanales; Alicyclobacillaceae.